This 251-nucleotide ribosomal RNA is filed under the name uncultured bacterium. RNAcentral's name for it is "partial 16S ribosomal RNA". It matches the Rfam family "Bacterial small subunit ribosomal RNA", at positions 524 to 774 of the family's 1533-position model. The record is from RNAcentral.
UACGUAGGUGGCAAGCGUUGUCCGGAAUUAUUGGGCGUAAAGCGCGCGCAGGUGGUUCUUUAAGUCUGAUGUGAAAGCCCACGGCUCAACCGUGGAGGGUCAUUGGAAACUGGGGAACUUGAGUGCAGAAGAGGAUAGUGGAAUUCCAAGUGUAGCGGUGAAAUGCGUAGAGAUUUGGAGGAACACCAGUGGCGAAGGCGACUAUCUGGUCUGUAACUGACACUGAGGCGCGAAAGCGUGGGGAGCAAACA